Molecule: long non-coding RNA, 1770 nt
Filed under: Homo sapiens (human)
Lineage: Eukaryota; Metazoa; Chordata; Mammalia; Primates; Hominidae
Description: HSALNT0387334
Source: RNAcentral
AAACAUCCAUCAACUAAUGAAUGGAUAAAAAAUAUGGUAUACCCAACAGUGAGAUAUUAUUAAGCCAUAGAAAGGAAUGAAGUUUCUAUGCUUGCUACAGCAUGAACAUUGAAACCAUUACACUGAGUGAAAGAAGCCAGCGUGGCAGGUAAAGGGAUGCGAGCAAGGAGGAGACAUUGUGAUCUUGACUCCUUUUCCUUUGAGUAGAGGAUAAUUUGUCACAUUUUGGAAGGCAGUGCCUUUGAGCAGCUUCAUGAGCCUAGGAUCUGACUCUCUUAGGAAAGUUCCUUGGAAGAGCCUACAGGUGACAACAGUGUUGAACUUUAGGCAAGCCCUGUGAUACUGGAAAAUUGCAAAGGUUAAGAAAUGUCCCCACCCUUUUGUGUUCUGGGAAACAGCUCACUGCAAAGAACUCCCUUCCCCAUAUGACUUAGAUGAGACUCAUAGGUGCCCCCACUUGUUUACCUAUGACAAGGCCAGACCCAGAGCCUCCAAACUCCCUUUCUUUGUUUUUGUGGUUAGUUUAACUGCCUGUUUCCACUGGUCAGUCGGAACAAAGUGUUCGUUAACCUAACUUUGGUGUAGAGUCUCUCCUUUCCCCAGGUCCUGGCCCACCCUCAGCCUGAGCCAGCAGACAACUCCUCUUUACAGACCUUCCUGAUCAGCCCUCAACCACUGUCUGAUUGUGUCACUCUGAUCAUCCCAGCCCCCAACACCCACUUCUUUCUAACCUUGUUUAUGCCUCUUUAGCAAAGCAAAAUAUUUACUGCCUCAUCUUGAGACACUUGCAGAUUAAGUGGUCAGAACAUUCCCUCUACUGCAAUAAUCCUUUUGAAUAAAGUCUCUCCUAACUAAAUCUGAGGUUUUUUUUUGUUUGGCAGUAAAUUAAUGAAGCCAAAGAUCACGGGAGACCAUCUGCUUGUGUUUACCCAUGAGGCAGUGUGGCAUAGGCGAAUGGGUGCGAGUCUAGCCCUGCUAUUCCUGCCUGUGUAACCCUAGAGAGCCUUUCUAAUUACUCUCUGCCUCUGCUUCCUUACCUGUAAAAUGGGCUAAAUAAUGGUACCUGUGUCAGUUAAUAUUUGUGAAAUGCCUAAUAGAGCCUAUUCCAAACAAUUACUACAUCAGUCUUUUUAAAAAAUAAAACUGUGUCUUUAUUUUAAUUUUCAGAUGUUUCCACUCACAAUAUUGGUAAAUGUAGAGUUUGCCUCUACUGACUGUCAGCUGAACAUCUUGGUUAAGACUCAGACUGCCUGAUUCUUCUCUUCCACUUACAAGCCUUGGGAAAGUCACAUAUAACCAUGUGGAACCUCCACUUCCUCACAUGGAAGGACCCUCUCGCUAGAAACAUUUGGAUACAUGACAGUUCGCUUGCUCUGACCAAGGAGGAACAGCUGCCCAUACUCAGUUCCCUGGGUCUAAGAGACACUCAGACAACAUCUUUGUUAAAUUCAUUAUUUGCAAAGGCCUGGGCAGAAGACCAAAACAGAAAAAGAGCAGGAGAACCAAAUGACAACUCGGAGGAAAUGAUCAGGACUGAGAAGGAGAGGAGAAAAUCCAAGAGGCCAGACCCUCACGUGGACCCUAUUGUCUCUUCCUUCCAACCUCCCAGCCUAUAAACACCUGUGCUAAGCCCAGCUGCCCAGCCCAGGCCCCAUCUGUGGGUGAGGCCUGAGACUUUUCGACCUUGCCUUGGCUGAGCACCGUUAUUACCACAUGCCUAAGACCCGUGCUCCAAUGCAUCUAUCAGGAAUAAAGCUGAUGUCUUAAGCC